UUCCAGACUCCUACGGGAGGCAGCAGUGGGGAAUAUUGCACAAUGGGGGAAACCCUGAUGCAGCGACGCCGCGUGAGUGAAGAAGUAUUUCGGUAUGUAAAGCUCUAUCAGCAGGGAAGAAAUAGCGACCUUUGGGUCGCCAGACGGUACCUGAUUAAGAGGCCCCGGCUAACUACGUGCCAGCAGCCGCGGUAAUACGUAGGGGGCAAGCGUUAUCCGGAUUUACUGGGUGUAAAGGGAGCGUAGACGGCAGCGCAAGUCUGAAGUGAAAGCCCGUGGCUCAACCGCGGAACCGCUUUGGAAACUGCGAGGCUGGAGUGCUGGAGAAGUAAGCGGAAUUCCUGGUGUAGCGGUGAAAUGCGUAGAUAUCAGGAGGAACACCGGUGGCGAAGGCGGCUUACUGGACAGUGACUGACGUUGAGGCUCGAAAGCGUGGGGAGCAAACAGGAUUAGAUACCCCGGUAG
RNAcentral lists this ribosomal RNA (465 nucleotides) under uncultured bacterium. RNAcentral describes it as "bacterial SSU rRNA". It matches the Rfam family "Bacterial small subunit ribosomal RNA", at positions 329 to 793 of the family's 1533-position model. The record is from RNAcentral.